This 164-nucleotide ribosomal RNA is filed under the name uncultured bacterium. RNAcentral's name for it is "partial 16S ribosomal RNA". It matches the Rfam family "Bacterial small subunit ribosomal RNA", at positions 355 to 511 of the family's 1533-position model. The record is from RNAcentral.
UAGGGAAUCUUCCACAAUGGGCGAAAGCCCGAUGGAGCAACGCCGCGUGUGUGAUGAAGGGUUUCGGCUCGUAAAACACUGUUGUAAGAGAAGAAUGACAUUGAGAGUAACUGUUCAAUGUGUGACGGUAUCUUACCAGAAAGGAACGGCUAAAUACGUGCCAG